This is a long non-coding RNA of Manis javanica (Malayan pangolin), 1580 nucleotides long. RefSeq lists it as uncharacterized. The record is from RefSeq and is a predicted model, not a curated record. Lineage: Eukaryota; Metazoa; Chordata; Mammalia; Pholidota; Manidae.
ACAGACCUCAUUAACAGGAGCUGGGGAACUGGACCUGUUGGACUUGGAGCCAUUGGAGCUGGAAGGCCCUAGAGAAAUGUUGCACCUACUUGCAGAAAUCUUUACAGCAGGAAGAGGGAGAGACAGGCCACUGAAUCCUAGAAAGUGCCCGCCAUAAUCUGCAAGUGGACAUUUUUGAAUGGCUGGAACUCUCCCCUGGGGUGUGAGAGCUUUGAAAUUUCAGAUUGAGGACCUGUGAUACCUACUCCAAAUGGUUUGGAAAGUUCUACAAGAUGACCCACAUCAAGUGGCUGGCAUAUGUGGGAGCCCUAUAUUAAACUUAACUACCAUUCUCAGCAAGUCCUGUGCUCAACCACGGCACUACAAGCUGUUAAGUCAUGGAGAGCAUCUGUGUGGCAGGCAACAGUCUCAGAAAGCCUCGGAAAGAUGUCCUGCCCUGAGCAUAGCAUGCCCUUCCUGCAGGGCUGAGGAAGGAGUCAAUGCCCAUGGAACCUCCCAUAUCACCAGGUGGAACCAUGGGCUCUCUUCAAGCACUGCACUCCCAAGAGGAAAAAACAACAGCCAGAAAACUCUCUACUCUCCUCCUGCAAUCAAGAACCAAACUGCUGUGCACAUCAACUCAUGCAAACAGGCCUGGGUAGGGGCCACCCAAAUCCCCUCUCUGCUGAUCUGGCUCUAGCUCGGCCUGGACAGCAGCUUUCACAUUCUGUCAGUCAUUCUGCAAUCUUGUGAGCUAGCUAGCAUUAUCCUAUCCCAUAAGAUUGCCUUAAAUUAGAUUUAGAACAGGCCAAGCCUAUCCAGCAAGCAGCAAAUUUAUUGAAUCGCCAUCCAUCCUCCACAGCCAGGGAUUUGAUUAUCUUAAGGCACAUUGCUGGAAUGCCUGGACACCCGCAUGUAACUUCCCUUUCUGGCUUCCUUUUUCUUGCUAACUGUUUGAGAAUAUCCCUGCUGAUACCCUAUCUUUGCUGGCUAUGGUCUUUUAUGGCCCCUGAUAGGAUCCCAGACCACCCCUGGUAUGCAAAAGUUUUAGACAACUUAGGGUCUGUGAAAACAGAUGCCAAUUUUGGCUCCAGAAGGCUAGGAUGGUAGGAAACGUUAGGGUCUGGCUUAGUUGUGUUGUUUACUCUGGACGGCAGGAAGAAAAAGAGGUCCUGGAAAACCUGAACGUAAAAGCCUGCCAUCAUGCCAUCCAUUAUGGGUGGAGGAGGGGCCUUUGAGAUUUAGAUAAACCUGGGUCAAAAGGCUCGCCUGAUUUUAUCCAUCUUUUUAACGGGAACUCGGGAGACAUAGGAAGCCAUGACCUCUGUGCGGGCAUCCUAGUAUCCAAACACAGGUGAGGAAACAGAGACUCAGAAAGGCUGAACAACCUGCCAAAGUUCACACAGCUGGGCCGUACUAGGAAAAGGUGGCUCCAAACUGGAAGGUUCGAAGGCGGAGCCCUUGCUUCAGGCCAGGAUGGUCACAGAACCUUUUCUCAAGCUGAAAAGCUACGCUCAUCAUGACCUCAGGCUGCUGCAGUUUCUAGGACCUGCAAAGAGAAUGCCUGGGGGUCCUGGACUUGGGACUAUGGGAAAUAAUUA